This 440-nucleotide ribosomal RNA is filed under the name uncultured bacterium. RNAcentral describes it as "partial 16S ribosomal RNA". It matches the Rfam family "Bacterial small subunit ribosomal RNA", at positions 338 to 795 of the family's 1533-position model. The record is from RNAcentral.
CCUACGGGUGGCAGCAGUGGGGAAUAUUGCACAAUGGGGGGAACCCUGAUGCAGCAACGCCGCGUGGGUGAAGAAGUAUUUCGGUAUGUAAAGCCCUGUCAGCAGGGAAGAUAAUGACGGUAUCUGACCAAGAAGCCCCGGCUAACUCCGUGCCAGCAGCCGCGGUAAUACGUAGGGGGCAAGCGUUAUCCGGAUUUACUGGGUGUAAAGGGAGCGUAGACGGGAGAGCAAGUCUGGAGUGAAAGCCCGUGGCUUAACCACGGAACUGCUUUGGAAACUGUGUUGCUGGAGUGCGGGAGGGGUAAGCGGAAUUCCUGGUGUAGCGGUAAAAUGCGUAGAGAUUAAGAGGAACACCGGUUGCGAAGGCGACUUACUAGACUAUAACUGACGUUGAGGCGCGAAAGCGUGGGGAGCAAACAGGAUUAGAUACCCUAGUAGUC